AUCGGUACGGGUUGUGGGAGCAAGAGCCCGGAGAUGGAUUCUGAGACACGAAUCCAGGCCCUACGGGGCGCAGCAGGCGCGAAAACUUUACAAUGCAGGCAACUGUGAUAAGGGAACCCCGAGUGCCCGUAUGGACGGGCUGUUCAGGUGCUUAAAAACCACCUGGAGAAAGGGCCGGGCAAGACCGGUGCCAGCCGCCGCGGUAAUACCGGCGGCUCGAGUGGUGGCCACUAUUACUGGGCUUAAAGCGUCCGUAGCUUGGUCGUUAAGCCUCUGGGGAAAUCUUCCGGCUCAACCGGAAGGCGUCUCAGGGGGACUGGCGACCUAGGGAUCGGGAGAGGUGAGAGGUACUCUGGGGGUAGGAGUGAAAUCCUGUAAUCCUCAGGGGACCACCUGUGGCGAAGGCGUCUCACCAGAACGACUCCGACAGUGGGGGACGAAAGCUGGGGGAGCAAACCGGAUUAGAUACCCGGGUAGUCCCAGCCGUAAACGAUGCGCGUUAGGUGUAUCGGUGACCACGAGUUACCGAGGUGCCGAAGGGAAACCGUGAAACGCGCCGCCUGGGAAGUACGGUCGCAAGGCUGAAACU
This 589-nucleotide ribosomal RNA is filed under the name uncultured archaeon. RNAcentral's name for it is "bacterial SSU rRNA". It matches the Rfam family "Archaeal small subunit ribosomal RNA", at positions 263 to 856 of the family's 1478-position model. The record is from RNAcentral.